CGUAGGGUGCGAGCGUUAAUCGGAAUUACUGGGCGUAAAGCGUGUGCAGGCGGUUAUAUAAGACAGAUGUGAAAUCCCCGGGCUCAACCUGGGAACUGCAUUUGUGACUGUAUAGCUAGAGUACGGCAGAGGGGGAUGGAAUUCCGCGUGUAGCAGUGAAAUGCGUAGAUAUGCGGAGGAACACCGAUGGCGAAGGCAAUCCCCUGGGCCUGUACUGACGCUCAUGCACGAAAGCGUGGGGAGCAAACAGGAUUAGAUACCCUGGUAGUCCACGCCCUAAACGAUGUCAACUGGUUGUUGGGUCUUCACUGACUCAGUAACGAAGCUAACGCGUGAAGUUGACCGCCUGGGGAGUACGGCCGCAAGGUUG
This 370-nucleotide ribosomal RNA is filed under the name uncultured organism. Its description in RNAcentral is "bacterial SSU rRNA". It matches the Rfam family "Bacterial small subunit ribosomal RNA", at positions 526 to 896 of the family's 1533-position model. The record is from RNAcentral.